AAACUUUACAAUGCGGGAAACCGUGAUAAGGGGACACCGAGUGCUAGCAUCAUAUGCUGGCUGUCCAGGUGUACACCUGUAGCAAGGGCCGGCAAGACCGGUGCCAGCCGCCGCGGUAACACCGGCAGCUCUAGUGGUAGCCAUUUUUAUUGGGCCUAAAGCGUUCGUAGCCGGUUUGAUAAGUCUCUGGUGAAAUCCUAUAGCUUAACUGUGGGAAUGCCGGAGAUACUACAAAGCUAGGGAGCGGGAGAGGCAGACGGUAUUCGGUGGUAGGGUAAAAUCCUCUAAUCAUUGAGGGACCACCAGUGGCGAAGGCGUCUUACCAGAACGGUUCGACGGUGAGGGACGAAAGCUGGGGGCACGAACCGGAUUAGAUACCCGGGUAGUCCCAGCCGUAACGAUGCUCGCUAGGUGUCAGGUGGUGCCGCAGGGAA
Molecule: ribosomal RNA, 434 nt
Filed under: uncultured archaeon
Lineage: Archaea
Description: bacterial SSU rRNA
Rfam family: Archaeal small subunit ribosomal RNA
Source: RNAcentral